AUGGUCUUAGCUUGCUAAGGCCGAUGGCGACCGGCGCACGGGUGAGUAACGCGUAUCCAACCUGCCUUACACUCUUGGACAGCCUUCUGAAAGGGAGAUUAAUACAAGAUGUUAUCAUGAGUUCACAUGUCCGCAUGAUUAAAGGUAUUUUCCGGUAGACGAUGGGGAUGCGUUCCAUUAGAUAGUAGGCGGGGUAACGGCCCACCUAGUCAACGAUGGAUAGGGGUUCUGAGAGGAAGGUCCCCACAUUGGAACUGAGACACGGUCCAAACUCC
Molecule: ribosomal RNA, 275 nt
Filed under: uncultured Bacteroides sp.
Lineage: Bacteria; Pseudomonadati; Bacteroidota; Bacteroidia; Bacteroidales; Bacteroidaceae
Description: partial 16S ribosomal RNA
Rfam family: Bacterial small subunit ribosomal RNA
Source: RNAcentral